RNAcentral lists this ribosomal RNA (490 nucleotides) under uncultured bacterium. RNAcentral's name for it is "partial 16S ribosomal RNA". It matches the Rfam family "Bacterial small subunit ribosomal RNA", at positions 28 to 507 of the family's 1533-position model. The record is from RNAcentral.
GAUGAACGCUAGCGAUAGGCUUAACACAUGCCAGUCGAGGGGCAGCAUGGUCUUAGCUUGCUAAGGCUGAUGGCGACCGGCGCACGGGUGCGUAACGCGUAUGCAACUUGCCUCACAGAGGGGGAUAACCCGUCGAAAGACGGACUAAUACCGCGUACACUCUAUGUUGGGCAUCCAAUGUAGAGGAAAUGAAAUUCGCUGUGAGAUAGGCAUGCGUCCCAUUAGCUAGUUGGUGAGGUAACGGCUCACCAAGGCGACGAUGGGUAGGGGAACUGAGAGGGUGAACCCCCACACUGGUACUGAGACACGGACCAGACUCCUACGGGAGGCAGCAGUGAGGAAUAUUGGUCAAUGGGCGAGAGCCUGAACCAGCCAAGUCGCGUGAAGGAUGACUGUCUUAUGGAUUGUAAACUUCUUUUAUACGGGAAUAACAAGAGUCACGUGUGGCUCCCUGCAUGUACCGUAUGAAUAAGCACCGGCUAACUCCGUG